This is a long non-coding RNA of Alexandromys fortis (reed vole), 467 nucleotides long. RefSeq lists it as uncharacterized. The transcript is spliced from 3 exons. The record is from RefSeq and is a predicted model, not a curated record. NCBI's taxonomy places the organism in Eukaryota, Metazoa, Chordata, Mammalia, Rodentia, Cricetidae.
AUUUUGUUGUUGUUGUUUUCUUUGUCUCUAAGAGCAGAAGUGCCCAGAGUAACGAGUCCACUGGGGACAGGAAUGGCUGUCAUGGAGGUUGGCAUGGAGGACAGGGAGAACAGCUUGAUGUGCAGAGAGAACAUUCCCAGCAUCCCUUGGGAAGACAGCACCGCCUCUGUGGAGGUGGGCAGGACUCUCCCAGCAAGACAAAGGAGGGAUUUUUGCCUGCAGCUCCUGGGAGGAAGUUGGUGAAGCCUUUCCUGUGUGCCAGGUGGCGCCCUAAACCCGGAGUUGGCCCCCUGCAGCCUGCUCACCAGAUCUAGUCCAGCCCCUGUUUUUAUACACAUGACCCAGGAGCUAAGAAAGGUUUUUUUUUGCAUUUUUAAAUGUUUACCACAAAAAAAAAAGAUUAAACAAUUUCAUGACACAUGGAAAUUACUUAAAAUGUAAAUUUCUGUGGCCAUAAUAAAAUCUUA